UUACAGCCAUAUCAAGAUGAAACACCAGUUCUCAUACAAUCACAAAAGCUAAGCAAUGUCAAGCCUGGUCAGUACCUAGAUGGGUGAGCACUUGGGAAUACCAGAUGCUGUAAG
Acanthosepion pharaonis is the source of this 114-nucleotide non-coding RNA. Lineage: Eukaryota; Metazoa; Mollusca; Cephalopoda; Sepiida; Sepiidae. The record is from the annotation of a GenBank genome assembly.